AAUUAUUUUAUAAUCAGGGAAAAACAAAAAACAUCCUGAAUUUGUUAUCUGGUAGCCACAAAACUGUUGUGGAUAAACACACGAACUCUAGAUUCAGCUUCCCUGGACUCCGCUUCAGACUUUGCCAAGUUAAUGGCUGGCUGGGCUAGUCUGAGCAGGUUCCUUACCUUCUCUGUGCCUCAGUUCUCCUCGCCGGAAAGUGCAAAUAACAAUAGCUCAGGUUUACCGGAAGCUGUUUCUUUGUUUUACAUAAAUGAACGGACAUAAUUCUCACAACAGCCCUAUCAAGUAUGUGCUAUUAUUAUUAAUAUAAAACGGGUCAUACGCAGAGGCAGGCCAGGAGGCAAGGCUGGGAGCGUGAACCCUCGAGCGCCCCCUGGAGGGGAGCUGGGGAUCAAUAGCAGGGUCAGGAAGCCGCGCACGCGCAGAACGAGUAGAAGGCGUGGUCAAGUCGCGCGGGAGAUUUUUCCCCACGCUACGAUUGGCUGGAGUACUUGUCAUCUGCCAAGAAAGCAGCCAAUGAGGAGCAUGGGCGCGUCUGUCGAACCCGACCGCUGAAGGAGCUGAGGCGCCGCGGAGCUUAUGGUGCUCCGGCCGCAGCAGGUACCGGGGGCCCUGAGAGCUUCAUCCAGACUUGCCUCCCAGUGCCACAGGACCUUUGCACAUGCUAUGCUGCUUCCUGUUCAGAAUCUUACACUUCAAAUGCAGUGCCUUUGGAUUUCGGGUCUCGCUCAGAAGCCCAGGCCGAAGUACAGUGGCACC
Molecule: non-coding RNA, 762 nt
Organism: Microcebus murinus (gray mouse lemur)
Lineage: Eukaryota; Metazoa; Chordata; Mammalia; Primates; Cheirogaleidae
Source: RefSeq, a predicted model, not a curated record